RNAcentral lists this ribosomal RNA (254 nucleotides) under uncultured bacterium. Its description in RNAcentral is "partial 16S ribosomal RNA". It matches the Rfam family "Bacterial small subunit ribosomal RNA", at positions 524 to 776 of the family's 1533-position model. The record is from RNAcentral.
UACGAGGGGUGCAAACGUUAUUCGGAAUUACUAGGGCGUAAAGGGUGCGUAGACGGUGCGUUAAGUCUGUUGUGAAAGACUCCGGCCUAACUGGAGAGGUGCAAUAGAUACUGGCGUGCUAGAGGAUGAAAGAGAGAAGUGGAAUUCCCGGAGUAGCGGUAAAAUGCGUAGAUCUCGGGAGGAACACCGAUGGCGAAAGCAGCUUCUUGGUUCAUUCCUGACGUUGAGGCACGAAAGCGUGGGGAGCAAACAGG